Molecule: long non-coding RNA, 259 nt
Filed under: Lathyrus oleraceus (garden pea)
Lineage: Eukaryota; Viridiplantae; Streptophyta; Magnoliopsida; Fabales; Fabaceae
Description: Pisum sativum (pea) long non-coding RNA (PSAT_LNC010607)
Source: RNAcentral
AUGUGAUUAUGGAGUCGUUCUCUGAAGUUGAGCGGACUAACAUGAUUGCCCCAACAGGCUCUCCACGCGCCUUCUUUUAAAUGUACUAGUCAUUCGUUCAUGACCUACGGGUGCUCAUACUCUUCACCCACUUUAAAUUUGAGGUCCUCACGAACAUGAACACAACUACCUCACAGAUAACUCCCAAUGCUUAGGCAUUUAUAAAGGCAUUCAAAAUCAUUUGUCAGCACCUAACGGUUAACCCUACCUGUAAGACCCC